This 77-nucleotide transfer RNA is filed under the name Oscillibacter sp. CAG:241. RNAcentral's name for it is "transfer RNA-Pro(GGG)". It matches the Rfam family "tRNA". Rfam says of the family: Transfer RNA (tRNA) molecules are approximately 80 nucleotides in length. Their secondary structure includes four short double-helical elements and three loops (D, anti-codon, and T loops). RNAcentral also lists the same sequence under 22 other names. Lineage: Bacteria; Bacillati; Bacillota; Clostridia; Eubacteriales; Oscillospiraceae. The record is from RNAcentral.
CCGGGUGUGGCGAAGUUUGGUAUCGCGCUUGAAUGGGGUUCAAGAGGCCUUGAGUUCGAAUCUCAACACUCGGACCA